GUCUACGGCCAUACCUAGGCGAAAACACCAGUUCCCGUCCGAUCACUGCAGUUAAGCGUCUGAGGGCCUCGUUAGUACUAUGGUUGGAGACAACAUGGGAAUCCGGGGUUUUGUAGGUU
RNAcentral lists this ribosomal RNA (119 nucleotides) under Schizosaccharomyces pombe (fission yeast). The record is from RNAcentral. Lineage: Eukaryota; Fungi; Ascomycota; Schizosaccharomycetes; Schizosaccharomycetales; Schizosaccharomycetaceae.